UGACCUCGGAUCAGGCAGGGAUACCCGCUGAACUUAAGCAUAUCAAUAAGCAGAGGAAAAGAAACCAACAGGGAUUGCCUCAGUAACGGCGAGUGAAGCGGCAACAGCUCAAAUUUGAAAUCUGGCUCUUUUAGGGUCCGAGUUGUAAUUUGUAGAGGAUGCUUCGGCGUCGGCUCCGGUCUAAGUUCCUUGGAACAGGACGUCAUAGAGGGUGAGAAUCC
RNAcentral lists this ribosomal RNA (221 nucleotides) under uncultured fungus. RNAcentral's name for it is "partial 28S ribosomal RNA". It matches the Rfam family "Eukaryotic large subunit ribosomal RNA", at positions 1 to 221 of the family's 3401-position model. The record is from RNAcentral. Lineage: Eukaryota; Fungi.